GAUGAACGCUGACAGAAUGCUUAACACAUGCAAGUCGAUGGGGAAGUGGGGCUUGCACCAUGGUAACCAUGGCGGACGGUUGAGUAACGCGUAAGGAACUGGCCUGCGUGACUGGGAUAACAGCAGGAAACUGCUGAUAAUACCGGAUAAGGGCAUUAAGCUGCAUAGCUUAGUGAUGAAAGGAGACGCCUGCGGAGAGCCUUGCGUCCUAUUAGCUAGUUGGAGGGGUAACGGCCCACCAAGGCGAAGAUAGGUAGCCGGCCUGAGAGGGUGGACGGCCACAAGGGGACUAAGAUACGGCCCUUACUCCUACGGGAGGCAGCAGUGGGGAAUAUUAGACGAUGAGGGCAACAAUGAUCCAGCAAUUCUGUGUCGACGAAGACGGUUUUCGGAUUGUAAAGUGCUUUCAGCAGGGAAGAAGGAAGUGACGGUACCUGCAGAAGAAGCGACGGCUAAAUACGUG
Molecule: ribosomal RNA, 463 nt
Filed under: uncultured bacterium
Lineage: Bacteria
Description: partial 16S ribosomal RNA
Rfam family: Bacterial small subunit ribosomal RNA
Source: RNAcentral